AUGGAGGUGGUUGACAAGAUUGCCGGGCCAGAGGGCCCUUGGGUGGCCACUGCCCGGCAGCCAAAUAAUUCAGAGUUGCCAGCAUCAGUAGUGAUAGAUGCAGCUAGGGAAGGGGAGGGCACGGAGCAGCCCGAUGAGAAGGACCCGUCGGCACAAGGCGGGGAGAGCUUCCGGUUCCGGGGCGAGGAAUCGUCGGGUGAGGGUGGCCGGAGUUCGUUCUCCGGGGCGAGCCACCCUCCGGAGCCAAUCGAUGUGGAUGUUAUGAGCACCGUGUAUGUUUCGGUUGACGAGGAGAAGACCGGGCCACCGGGGUGCUUGCUGCGAGGCCCGUCAGCCAAAGCACCGUCCAUGGAAGACAUUUCUGUCCAUGCCGCAGACCUGGAACCCAAUGUGGUUGCUUUGGUUGAAGAGAUGAAGGUGCCCGGUGCCCCUGUUCCAGAGCCUCCUGGCGAGGCCGUGCCCUCAACUCAGUCGUCGGAGGAGAAGGAUCGCACCGGUGACAGCGCCGGUGCCACACGCAUCAGGAACAGCUGCACAAGCACACGCAGAAGCGGAUCCGUUGCCGGUGAGCCCGCGGUGACCGCCGGGAGGACGCAAGACAGCGCAAAGGGCAGCUUCCGAGGCAGCUCAACGGAGAGCAUAAAGACCAGCGGGAGCCAAGCGAGCGACAGCAGCGACGACAGCGGCCGGAGCAACAGCGUCACCGGAGCCGCCAGCAAGCCCCACAAGGGGAACGACCCUCGGUGGCGGGCGAUCCUCGCCGUCCGGGCCCGGGGCGGCGCGCUGGGGAUGAGCCACUUCAGGCUGCUGAGGCGGCUCGGGUGCGGCGACAUCGGCAGCGUGUACCUGUCGGAGCUGAGCGGGACGGGGUGCCACUUCGCGAUGAAGGUGAUGGACAAGGCGUCGCUGGCGGGGCGGAGGAAGCUGAGCAGGGCGCGGACGGAGAGGGAGAUCCUGCAGCUCCUGGACCACCCCUUCCUCCCCACCCUGUACGCGCACUUGGAGACCGACCGCUUCUCGUGCCUGCUCAUGGAGUUCUGCCCCGGCGGCGACCUGCACGCGCUGCGGCAGCGCCAGCCGCGGAAGCACUUCUCCGAGUACGCGGCGAGGUUUUAUGCUGCGGAGGUACUCCUAGCUCUGGAGUAUUUGCACAUGCUGGGGGUGGUGUACCGGGACCUGAAGCCGGAGAACGUGCUGGUGCGCGACGACGGCCACAUCAUGCUCUCCGACUUCGACCUCUCGCUGCAGCAGUGCGCGGUGUCGCCGACGCUCGUCAGAGCGCCGGCGUGCGACUCCGACCCCAGGAGGGCAGGCGGCGCCUUCUGCGUGCGGCCCUCCGGCUGCAUGGAGCCCUCCGCUGCCUGCGUCCAGCCCGCGUGCUUCAUGCCCAGGCUGUUCGGCCAGAGGAGCAGGAGGCGGCGGCGGUGCUCCGAGCCGGGGCAGGGCGUGCCGGAGCUGGUGGCGGAGCCGACGGCGGCGCGGUCGAUGUCGUUCGUGGGGACGCACGAGUACCUGGCUCCGGAGAUCAUCAAGGGCGAGGGCCACGGCAGCGCCGUCGACUGGUGGACGCUGGGCGUCUUCCUGCACGAGCUGCUCUACGGCCGGACGCCCUUCAAGGGGGCGGGCAACCGCGCCACGCUCUUCAACGUCGUCGGCCAGCAGCUGCGCUUCCCGGAGUCACCGCCGACGAGCCACGCCGCCAGGGACCUCGUCAGGGGCCUGCUGGUCAAGGAGCCGCAGCAGCGGCUCGGCGUCAAGCGGGGCGCCGCAGAGAUCAAGCAGCACCCCUUCUUCCAGGGGGUCAACUGGGCGCUCAUCCGGUGCAGCACGCCUCCCGAGGUGCCCAAGCCCGUCGAGGCCGAGCCGCCAGCGAAAUGCGGAGCAACCCAGCAGCCGACGGUGAUCGGCGCCGCCGAGGUGAAGUCCGGCGGCAAGUUCCUCGACUUCGAAUUCUUUUAG
RNAcentral lists this ribosomal RNA (1959 nucleotides) under Triticum aestivum (bread wheat). RNAcentral's name for it is "partial small subunit ribosomal RNA". The record is from RNAcentral. Lineage: Eukaryota; Viridiplantae; Streptophyta; Magnoliopsida; Poales; Poaceae.